AGGUCCGUAGCUCUAACGGCAGAGCACUGGACUCCAAAUCCAGGUGUUGCAGGUUCAAAUCCUGCCGGGCCUGCCA
This 76-nucleotide transfer RNA is filed under the name Candidatus Infernicultor aquiphilus. RNAcentral describes it as "Candidatus Atribacteria bacterium CG2_30_33_13 tRNA-Trp". It matches the Rfam family "tRNA". Rfam says of the family: Transfer RNA (tRNA) molecules are approximately 80 nucleotides in length. Their secondary structure includes four short double-helical elements and three loops (D, anti-codon, and T loops). Lineage: Bacteria; Pseudomonadati; Atribacterota; Candidatus Phoenicimicrobiia; Candidatus Pheonicimicrobiales; Candidatus Phoenicimicrobiaceae. The record is from RNAcentral. RNAcentral also lists the same sequence under 1 other name.